Long non-coding RNA from Octopus sinensis (East Asian common octopus), 221 nucleotides. RefSeq lists it as uncharacterized. The transcript has 3 exons. NCBI's taxonomy places the organism in Eukaryota, Metazoa, Mollusca, Cephalopoda, Octopoda, Octopodidae. The record is from RefSeq and is a predicted model, not a curated record.
CUCUUUUACUUUGAAGAUUGAAAAGGCUUGUCAAAAGAAUUCAUUCUGUGGCACCUGUUCCCUCUGCCAGCCAGCACAGCUGUGCAUUAUGCAAUAGAAUGUGCAAAUCUGAGGCCGGGCUCAAGAGUCAUACAAGGGCCUCACAUCGCAUCGUCAAUGACUCAUUUCAGUGAUUCUUUCUAGCAAUGGCUUUGCUUGUAUAUGAGAAAGCAGUUUCUAUG